UACAACAGGUGUAGUAGACCUUACAGUGAAAUGCUGAAUACAACAGGUGUAGUAGACCUCACAGUGAAAUACUGAAUACAACAGGUGUAGUAGACCUUACAGUGAAAUGCUGAAUACAACAGGUGUAGUAGACCUUACAGUGAAAUGCUGAAUACAACAGGUGUAGUAGACCACACAGUGAAAUACUGAAUACAACAGGUGUAGUAGACCUCACAGUGAAAUGCUGAAUACAACAGGUGUAGUAGACCUUACAGUGAAAUGCUGAAUACAACAGGUGUAGUAGACCUUACAGUGAAAUGCUGAAUACAACAGGUGUAGUAGACCUUACAGUGAAAUGCUGAAUACAACAGGUGUAGUUAGACCUCACAGUGAAAUGCUGAAUACAACAGGUGUAGUAGACCUCACAGUGAAAUGCUGAAUACAACAGGUGUAGUAGACCUCACAGUGAAAUGCUGAAUACAACAGGUGUAGUAGACCUUACAGUGAAAUGCUGAAUACAACAGGUGUAGUAGACCUCACAGUGAAAUACUGAAUACAACAGGUGUAGUAGACCUUACAGUGAAAUGCUGAAUACAACAGGUGUAGUAGACCUCACAGUGAAAUGCUGAAUACAACAGGUGUAGUAGACCACACAGUGAAAUACUGAAUACAACAGGUGUAGUAGACCUCACAGUGAAAUGCUGAAUACAACAGGUGUAGUAGACCUUACAGUGAAAUACAACAGGUGUAGUAGACCUUACAGUGAAAUGCUGAAUACAACAGGUGUAGUAGACCUUACAGUGAAAUGCUGAAUACAACAGGUGUAGUAGACCUUACAGUGAAAUGCUGAAUACAACAGGUGUAGUAGACCUCACAGUGAAAUGCUGAAUACAACAGGUGUAGUAGACCUCACAGUGAAAUGCUGAAUACAACAGGUGUAGUAGACCUAACAGUGAAAUGCUGAAUACAACAGGUGUAGUAGACCUCACAGUGAAAUGCUGAAUACAACAGGUGUAGUAGACCUUACAGUGAAAUGCUGAAUACAACAGGUGUAGUAGACCUUACAGUGAAAUGCUGAAUACAACAGGUGUAGUAGACCUCACAGUGAAAUGCUGAAUACAACAGGUGGAGUAGACCUAACAGUGAAAUGCUGAAUACAACAGGUGUAGUAGACCUCACAGUGAAAUGCUGAAUACAACAGGUGUAGUAGACCU
Molecule: long non-coding RNA, 1193 nt
Organism: Oncorhynchus keta (chum salmon)
Lineage: Eukaryota; Metazoa; Chordata; Actinopteri; Salmoniformes; Salmonidae
Exons: 3
Source: RefSeq, a predicted model, not a curated record